This 1369-nucleotide ribosomal RNA is filed under the name Tyspanodes striata. RNAcentral's name for it is "16S ribosomal RNA". The record is from RNAcentral. Lineage: Eukaryota; Metazoa; Arthropoda; Insecta; Lepidoptera; Crambidae.
GGGGAAAAAUUAAUAAUUUUAUAAAUAAUAAAAAUAAUUUUAAUAUUAAAAUUGGGGGGUUUUAGUAUUAAUAAAAAAAAAAUUAUAAAAUUUAUAGUAAAUUAGUAUUGUAAAAGAAUUUUUAAAUAUUAUGAAAAUAAAUUUAAUUAAAAGUAAAAUUUAUUUUUUGUAUCUUGUGUAUCAGAGUUUAUUAAUUAAAUUAUUUUGUUUAAAAUAUUUCUCGAAUUUAAAAGAGAUAAAUAGUUAUAAGAGUUAUUAUUACAUAAAUAUUUUUAAUAAUUAUUUUGAAAUGAAAUGUUAAUCGUUUUUAAAAAUAUCUAGUUUUUUUAGAAAAAAAUUUAAUUUUAUUUUUUUUUUAUAUUUAAUUAAAUAAUUAAUUAAAUAUAAAAAAAAAAUUAUAUUUUAAGGGAUAAGCUUUAAAUUAAAUUUUUAUAAUUUCUAAUUAUUAAAAUUAAAAUUUUUAAAAUUUAUAUUGUUUAUCAUUUUUAAUUUAUUAUAAAUAAUUUUAAUAAAAAUAAAAUUUUAUAUAUUAAAUUUAAUUUUUUAUAAAAAAAAAAUAUUUUAAUUAAAAAAAAUUAAGUAUAAUGAUAAAAUUAGUAUUUAAAUUAAAAUAAUAUAAAUAGUUAGUGAAAGUUAAUUUUAAAGAAUUCGGCAAAUGUAAAUAUUCACUUGUUUAUCAAAAACCUGUCUUUUUGUUAAUAAUUUAAAGUCUAAUCUGCCCCCUGAUUAAUAUAUUAAAGGGCUGCAGUAUAUUGACUGUACAAAGGUAGCAUAAUCAAUAGUCUUUUAAUUGAUGACUUGUAUGAAAGAUUGAAUGAAAUAUUAGCUGUUUCAAUUUUAAUAAAAAAAAUUAAUUUUUUAGUUAAAAAGCUAAAAUAAAUUUAAAAGACGAGAAGACCCUAUAGAGUUUAAUAAAUAAAAUUAUUAGAAUUAUUUAUAAAAUUAUUAAUUAAAAUAAAAUUAUAUAUUUUAUUGGGGUGAUAAAAAAAUAAAAAAAACUUUUUUUUUAUAAAUUUCAUAGAUAAUUGAAUAAAUGAUCCAAAAAUAUUUUGAUUAAAAGAAAAAAUUACCUUAGGGAUAACAGCGUAAUUUUUUUUUUUAGUUCAAAUAAGAAAAAAAGUUUGCGACCUCGAUGUUGGAUUAAGAUAAAAUUUAAAUGCAAAAGUUUAAAAUUUUGAUCUGUUCGAUCAUUAAAAUCUUACAUGAUCUGAGUUCAAACCGGUGUGAGCCAGGUUGGUUUCUAUCUUUAAAUUAAAAAAAAUAUUUUAGUACGAAAGGAAUUAAUAUUUAAAUUAGAUUUAUAAUAGAAAGAAUAUUAAUAAAAUUAUUUAUAAAUAAUUUAAUAUUAAAAAUAAUAAUUUUUAUUUAA